This is a non-coding RNA of Oncorhynchus mykiss (rainbow trout), 574 nucleotides long. Lineage: Eukaryota; Metazoa; Chordata; Actinopteri; Salmoniformes; Salmonidae. The record is from RefSeq and is a predicted model, not a curated record.
AGGAUAUCUGAAUUAUCGCCUGAAGACGGCAUCAAGGAAGACUCAUCAAGAAGAGUAUUUCACCCCAGUCGGGAGGCCCAACCCAUAGGAGGAAGACUGACCUGGACCACCAGCUUGUUGGUGAUGCAUGCAAGGAGGCCCUUUCCUUCCUUGUCCACUCGGCCAAUGAAAAACACAUUUAUCAGACGAUGAAGGGGGUGUUCCAGGAUCGCCAGGAGCCAGUUUAUAGUCCAGACAGAAGCACAGAUGUCCUCACAGUCUUUCCCAGGUUUCUGGACAUCAAAGGAUUGGUGAAUCAGGACUUUUUGCCGACGAUGAAACAUCCUCUAAGCUCCUUGAAAAGUGGGACGCAAUAUUGAAGCCUAAAGUCAUCAAACUGGCAAAAUCCAUGACUAUGACCGCCGAUUUGCGUCGCCUCCUGAAGUCUGCAGAAAAACCACCAGAGAAUGACUGCGAAACCAACUGGGACAAUGAUAUGUCCUCCCUGCUGCUGCUUCAUCUCCUCCCACCAGCAGCAGGAGGGAAGAGGACCAAGAUCAGUGCCAGUGAUGCUGUGGGUAGACUAGUGCACUUU